RNAcentral lists this ribosomal RNA (433 nucleotides) under uncultured bacterium. RNAcentral's name for it is "partial 16S ribosomal RNA". It matches the Rfam family "Bacterial small subunit ribosomal RNA", at positions 29 to 507 of the family's 1533-position model. The record is from RNAcentral.
AACGAACGCUGGCGGCAGGCCUAACACGUGCAAGUCGAGCGAGGACUUCGGUUCUAGCGGCGGACGGGUGAGUAACGCGUGGGAAGGUGCCCUUCUCUACGGAAUAGUCCUGGGAAACUGGGAGUAAUACCGUAUACGCCCUAUUGGGGAAAGAUUUAUCGGAGAAGGAUCAGCCCGCGUUGGAUUAGGUAGUUGGUGGGGUAAUGGCCUACCAAGCCGACGAUCCAUAGCUGGUUUGAGAGGAUGAUCAGCCACACUGGGACUGAGACACGGCCCAGACUCCUACGGGAGGCAGCAGUGGGGAAUCUUAGACAAUGGGGGCAACCCUGAUCGAGCCAUGCCGCGUGAGUGAUGAAGGCCUUAGGGUUGUAAAGCUCUUUCAGCUGGGAAGAUAAUGACGGUACCAGCAGAAGAAGCCCCGGCUAACUCCGUG